GCUGAAGAGAAAGCUGGGGAAGAAAGAGAAGCAUCUCUCUUACCUUCCUGUCUUGCAUGGCUGGUGUAACCGUAUCUAUUUAUUUUGUCUUCUAAAUCAGAAAAAAAAAGGAUCCCUAUUGCCUGGUCCUUUUCUUUCAAUUAUAACUGUCAAAUAACAAACUGAAGCCCAGUUGACUUUCUGCCUUGCGGACGUCAGCACAUUGACUCCUGGCACAUUGAAAGUGAUAACAGCUCUUCACCUGAGAGUGUGGCAUGAAUAUGCCUUGUACUGUGAGAAGGAGAGAUGCAUUCCCUUUGCAUGGCUUGGCUGCUGAUGAGAAGAUGAUGGCCAGACACACAAAAAGGAUUGUACACGAUCCAAAAAAAUGCUGUAGGAAAAAGAAAAGUUAACUUCAUGCCUGCUGAGGGUAUCACAGUUGGAGAGGAAUAAGCAACUUCUCCCCCAGCUGUAUCUAGGGCUCGGCCAGUACAAGAGAGAUGUGGAUGUACUGGAGAGAGUUCAGCAAAGGGCCAUAAGGAUCAUGAAGGGCCUGGACAACCUCUCCUGUGAGGAGAGGCUGAGAGAGCUGGGGCUGCACAGCUGGAGAAGUGAAGGAGACUCAGGGGGAUCUCAUCAAUGUCCAUAAAUCUCUGAAGGGAGGGUGCCAGAAGCCAGAGCCAGGCUCUGUCAGUGGUGCCCGAGUGCCAGGACCAGCAGCCAUGGGCACAAACUGGAGCACAGGAGGUUCCCUCUGAACACCAGGAGCCCUUCUGUGCUGUGCAGUGAUGGAGCACUGGCACAGGCCCACAGAGGCUGUGGGUCUCCUCCUUGGGGAUCUCCCAGAGCUGCUUGGAUGUGGCCCUGGGCACCCUGCUCUGGGUGUCCCUGCUGGGGCAGGGGAUGGAGUGGAGGCACCCAGAGGGCCCUGCCAGCUUCAGCUGUGCUGUGCUUCUGUAAUUAAAAGUCCACUUAACAUCUUCACUUACUACAUGGCUUAGAAAAAUACUGGGGCUACUAAAUAGUUAAAAAAUGUAGUAUGUGUCUGUUUUUGCUAUUGACAAAAGAAUUUGUGUCAAAACAAUCAAAAUUCUGUUGUGUAGUCCAUAGGAGGUAGUUGUGCAGCAAGUGGCUUUGCAGGUGCCUGUUCUUUCCAGGGUGCCCCACUGAGCAAAUAUGAUGUUUUCAGUCAGUGUCUAAAACUGUUUCCAUAUGUGAUGAUAGCACGGAGCAGUAAGAACAGACCUGAACCUCUUUCAAGACGCAUUAACAUGCUGAGUCCCGUUAGCAUUGAUCUUUUGUGAGGAAGAACAGGAUCUCCUCUUCAAAAUCUCACACGAAAUUUGGCAGGAAAUCUUUGCCCUUCAACAUAAACAAACAAAACCAGACGUUCUAAGAUUUCAGUUUCAGCAUUUAACUCUGUGUAGUUACAUGUGACUUUUCCAUACGUUUUCUCAGUUCGUAGGAAUUUUGUGACUUGUCUUUGGCCAUCUCUGAAACAUUGGACAACACUGUGCUGCUAAGAGCAGAAAGAAGUUGAGUUCAAGGACAUUCAACUUUCAGACAAGGCGACACUGAACUCAAAACAAAGUGAUAACAAGAGAGCCCAGUCUGCCACCAAAAUGUUUGCAAAUAUAUAUAUAAAAUUAAAUGGAAACAUCAGAACUGUGCAAAGCUGAACUACCCUCUGUCCUAGCACUACCAGUUUACCACAGCCCACAUCAGGAUCCAGAAGCCACAAGUUGUGCCAGUGAUGAGGUGUGAGAUUGAGCCUAUGAAGAUCUCCCUUUCUUGUCCUUUGUUUUAAUGCUCAUCUAGCCUCAACUUUCUGGAGCUUUGCACAAUUUUUCCAUCCCUGCUUACUCAGUGAGGCAUCACUGCAGAUGCCAAGCAAGUACAGACGGGGUUAUAACUGGGCAGGGCUUCCCUGGGAUGUGAAGGACCCAUUAGCACCUCUUCUUUGUCCUGUCACAAGCAGUGUGGCUGCCACCACCAGUCAAUCAUUGAAGUUUCAGCAACAAUGAGUACAUGAACUUGAUUUAACUUUAGUAAUUACAACCACUUUCAAAAUAGUUUCUUGAAGCUUUUGGCACUGUUUUUGAUGUUGAGUAAAAACUAUUUCCCCUUUGCCCACUCUGCCUGGAGCUUGUACCGCAGAUGUAGCGCUGAUGGACAUGGUUAGCGGGCAUGCUGGGAUGGGCUGAUGGUUGGACUCAGUGAUCUCAGAGGUCUUUUCCAACCUUAACAACUCCGUGAUCAGAUCAGAAGUGUGUGACAUUCACUGUCUUUCAGAAUCUGGAGACUUUGCAGGGAAAAUCCUACUAGCUUUUGCUGGGGUCGGUGUUUCCAGGAGCAUUGCUCAACAAUGUGACCAUCUUUUCCUGCUAAUCGUCUUGUAACAAUUCCCACUUCUGUUCCUUUACAUAUCUAACCCUCUCAAUGGAACUGAAUAAAUAGUGCCAGUUGACUGGGGUAUUUCCAUCAGUUCCUGGCUGUUUUCCUUCUCAAUGUCUGCGUUGAUUUGUAACAAGAAAUUCAGGUUGCCGAGUUUCACCAGUCUCAUUCAUCUGUCUGGCCAGGUGGUCGGCACAGAACUGACAACUGUCCCAUGAGCAAACAGUGUCACUUCUUUUCAGUAUACCAACCCAGCAGUGUGUCAGCAGGCUGGCUGGGUAGUGAGCUAACUGCCCAAUCUCCUGCCUCAUCCCAUAGCUUCCUUUUUGCCUUUCCAGUUCUAAGAGCUUCCGAACUGUGGAUUCUCAAUUCCUGCAGUAUCUGAAAGCAAUGGGAAAAUGACCAAGAAGACUUUUGCAAGGAAAACCUCGCCUCCUAGCAGCUCGCUGCAGUCUCUACUGGCUCUCAUUUUAUGUCUCCCACUCCUCCAGCACUUUAUUUGUGGGUACUCCUGCCAUUGCUGGCACAGCAAGCUCUCAGGCUGAAAACCCUUUGACCAGGCUGUGCCUCUUGGUAGGCUGCACAUUAGAUUCUGCCUUGACAGAGAGCAAGAGCCAUUGGGUGGACGGUGAUCAGCCCUAAUUUAGUAUAAGUAGUAUCUGGUGUCAUCAGAAGGCAUUCCUUUUGUGGGGAGUGUGACAGAGCAGCAUGAACAGUGAAUGGAAGAGCAUGGGUAGAAAGAAAGUGUGGAUUAAACUAUUUCGUAGCUGUCCUCCUCCACUAAAGUCAAUGGCCACCAGGUUGUCAUCUGAAACUGACCUAUUUGGCAAUAGCAUUGUGCACUCACUAGCUAAACAUUAGUGAAAACUAGUACUGCUCCUAAUAUUAGGCCUUCAAAAAAUGCUCUAGCAUUCCAAAGAUAUAGUAGUUGACUGAAUUGAAAAUGGAAAGGCCCAAGACUGUGUUCCACCAAAUAAGCUUGUGGUACUAAUAGGAAUGGGAGGGUGGUUGGACUAGAUGAUCUUGCAGGUCGUUUCCAACCUUGUGAUUCUGUGAUUCUGUGAAGUUCUUUACAUUGAGGUUUUUUUAAGAGUUUACACUAAACUCUAUAGGAAAGCUCUUGCCUUUGAGCCCAAGUGUGGCAUAUUCAACAUCACACCCGAAUCCCAUAGAGCAGGUGUGCAUCGCAGUCCUUAACGUGCGCUGCUUAGCAGGAAUUUGGACAGCCUUCUAUUUCUGAUAGUCUGUCACUGGAUGCCAUUUUACUCUUGCCUCUAGGACUUGUAUAGGUGAUACUAAAUGUAUUUGCUUAGAUGCAGGUACAAUUUAUGCCAACUACAUUAAAACAAAGCAUCUCGCUGGCUUUACAGCUUUGUACCUCAUUUGCUCUUGUGGUAAAGGGUGAAUAAAGCUUAACUGGAGACAUAAUAGCAGCACUGUGAGAGGUUCCAGAUUUGGUUUCUAAUUGCUGACCUGUAUUUAAUGUUAUUUAAAAUUGUAAGGGCUCUUAAACCGCAAUAUCUGUCUCUUUUUUCACAUUAUAACCAAACUUUGAUUAAAGCAGUUUUAUGGCUUUAUUUCCACUGUAAGCAGUGACUAUAACGAAAAAUACAGGAUAUAUUAAUAAACCAGUAAAGAAUGUACAUUUAAUAUAUGUUAAAGAGCACUUUGGGUUAUUUUAUGAACUAUUUAAGUAUCAUUAAGUCAUUAAACUUUUCUUCUGCAGAGCUGUGAAGCAACUUGACUUAAACACUCAAGUAUAUAUUGUUUUUAUUAGCUUUGCAGCUACUAGACUGAGAAAUGCAGUUACUACUUAAGCCUUUCAGUCAGGCUUUUGUUUUCAAUAGCUGUAGUUCACAGAAUCACAGAAUGGCUUGGGUUGGAAGGGACCUUAAAGCCCAUCCAGUCCCAUCCCCCUGCUGUGCGCAGGGCUGUCAGCCAGCAGCUCAGGCUGCCCAGAGCCCCAUUCAACCUGGCACAGCUGCCCAGAAAAGCUGUGGAUGCCCCAUUCCUGGAGGCACUCAAGGCCAGGUUGGAUGGAGCCAUGGGCAGCCUGAGCCGCUGGCUGGCACUGCCCUGAGAGGGGAUUGGGACUGGAUGGGCUUUAAAGUCCCUUCCAACCCAAGCCAUUCUGUGAUUCUAUGAUUAUGUCUUUAAAAAAAAAAAAAAAGCUGUCAUUCCAAAGAUUCAGUAAUUGACUGAAUUGAAAAUGGAAAUGUUUGAUCCAGGACUGUGUUCAACCAAUUUUUUGGGAAACUCAAUUAUGUGAAGUAAACAUAAUGUGUUCCUUGCCCAUCAGUCAUCAUAGAGAGCUCCAAAGAACACCUGUGAUAUUUUUAUUUCUAGUUCUUUUGACGUAUCACACCAAUCCACAGUGAUGUGUAGAAACAGUAGUGUAGUUUUUUGGGGUUUUGGAUACAGUUUGCCAGCAAGCACAGUUGGAUCAGGAGAAAAACAUGUCACCGGGAUUGCUGAUAACAGUCUUGGCUUUGCAGUACAUUUGUAGUAUAAAAGAUAAAGAUAAUCCCACUAGAAUGUCUUUGUUAUGAGCUGGUUAUCUUCACAGUCAUUAGAAAGAUGCAGAAAUGUAAGGGCUUCUUAAACUAGAUCCAUUAAAUCACUGUAAAGGAGCUUGUUUUCUCUCUACUGAUUUAGAGUGAGAAUUCCAGUGAGUAAUUCUGCAGAUCAGGUAAGACAAAUUCUACCUUCUGUGUCAACAAAUAAAACAGUUCCAGGCAAAAUUCUCUCAUCACGAGAUGGAGUUCUCCUCUAAAGCCUGUGCCUCCCAUUUUCCCUUUCCCUUCGUAUUCCAUUUGUUAUGAUAAAGCAAUUCCCCAAUCUUUCACAGAAAUGGCAAGCACAUACAGCUUAGUAUGCUAUUUGUUUUCCUGCCCAGAGUCAUGGAGCCAUUUCUCUGCUUCCUGAAGGGGAGGGAUCCAACUAUGCCUGGAUGUGGAAUGUGUUAAAGCCUCCUACUUCAUAGUGUCUUGACAUAAACAGGAUAAUAUUCAGUCCUGGCUCCAUAAAGUAAUGUGGAAAGCAUUUGGCAGCGUUCCUAAAUUCUUGCUGUUUAAACAUGAAGAAGCAGAUCAUUUCUGCAUACCAGCACUGAUUUAUAGAAACUGAAUGCUGUGCAGAAUCCUUCCAUUUAAACUAAGCAAGUGAUGCAGGA
Long non-coding RNA from Tympanuchus pallidicinctus (lesser prairie-chicken), 5545 nucleotides. RefSeq lists it as uncharacterized. Lineage: Eukaryota; Metazoa; Chordata; Aves; Galliformes; Phasianidae. The record is from RefSeq and is a predicted model, not a curated record. The transcript is spliced from 2 exons.